AGUAUCGAGGAUAACUGCUUUCUGUAUU
Molecule: small RNA, 28 nt
Filed under: Bombyx mori (domestic silkworm)
Lineage: Eukaryota; Metazoa; Arthropoda; Insecta; Lepidoptera; Bombycidae
Description: ovarian small RNA-12263
Source: RNAcentral